UACGGAGGGGGCCAGCGUUGUUCGGAAUUAUUGGGCGUAAAGGGCGCGUAGGCGGCCACCGCAAGUCGACUGUGAAAUCUCCGGGCUUAACCCGGAAAGGUCAGCCGAUACUGCGGGGCUAGAGUGCAGAAGGGGCAACUGGAAUUCUCGGUGUAGCGGUGAAAUGCGUAGAUAUCGAGAGGAACACCUGCGGCGAAGGCGGGUUGCUGGGCUGACACUGACGCUGAGGCGCGAAAGCUAGGGGAGCGAACGGG
This 254-nucleotide ribosomal RNA is filed under the name uncultured bacterium. RNAcentral describes it as "partial 16S ribosomal RNA". It matches the Rfam family "Bacterial small subunit ribosomal RNA", at positions 524 to 776 of the family's 1533-position model. The record is from RNAcentral.